GUGUCAGCCGCCGCGGUAAUACGUAGGGGGCUAGCGUUGUCCGGAAUCAUUGGGCGUAAAGAGCGUGUAGGCGGCCCGGUAAGUCCGCUGUGAAAGUCGGGGGCUCAACCCUCGAAUGCCGGUGGAUACUGUCGGGCUAGAGUGCGGAAGAGGCGAGUGGAAUUCCUGGUGUAGCGGUGAAAUGCGCAGAUAUCAGGAGGAACACCAAUUGCGAAGGCAGCUCGCUGGGACGUAACUGACGCUGAGACGCGAAAGCGUGGGGAGCAAACAGGAUUAGAAACCCCAGUAGUCC
This 292-nucleotide ribosomal RNA is filed under the name uncultured bacterium. RNAcentral's name for it is "partial 16S ribosomal RNA". It matches the Rfam family "Bacterial small subunit ribosomal RNA", at positions 505 to 796 of the family's 1533-position model. The record is from RNAcentral.